This 227-nucleotide small RNA is filed under the name Arabidopsis thaliana (thale cress). RNAcentral's name for it is "ATSL077690". Lineage: Eukaryota; Viridiplantae; Streptophyta; Magnoliopsida; Brassicales; Brassicaceae. The record is from RNAcentral.
AAGAUGAUAACAAAACAGUAAAAGAGGAGAACGAAUGUUUAUAGCGAAAACGAAAGAAGAAACACCAAUUCAGAGAAACUCAGAAAUUCGCGUGAUUUCCACAACUCCAAAAAGCUGGAGUCCCAUCCUAGUUACCGCGAGCAAACUCUAACAGAGACCAAUACAACGAACAAAUUUUACGGGUCAAUAUGGGAGUAAUAAACUCAACAAUUGAAUUUAGUAGACUU